UCAUUUUGGAACUUUAGCACCAUGUAUUUCACAUUUCCAAGAAUUCAAAUUCAUUGAACUGUUCAAAUUUUGACAUCAAACUGAAUGUUCAUCCGUUACUUUACUAAUUUGAUGUAUAGGGCUCCAUCUGUUUUUUUUUUUUUUUUAAAGAUUAAGAUGUCUAAAGCUCUGAUUAUAAUUAAGACUCUUUGUUUUCUUAACAUUUGAAUACAUAAAAUUUUACUUUACUUUUUGUUGCAAAAAUUGCUCUCUAAUUAAGACUCAUUUUUUUCUUAACAUUUGAAUACAUAAAAUUUUACUUUAUUUGAAACCCUCAGGGGUUGGCCUGGUGGUAAUUGGCUUGAGCCUUGGGGUUUGCUCCCUUUCAAGGUCUCAAGUUCGAAACCCACUGGGUGCAUACAAUUUCUGAGGGCCAUCGGACUGGGGUAAAACCCUGAAUUACCCGUGGUGCACUUGCGGGAAACUCCUUGCCGAGGGCCUGUGCACUCCCGGGAUUAGUCGGGGCUCAAAGAGACCCGGACACCCGGACACCCGGUGCUUAAUCAAAAAAAAAAAAAAAAAUUUACUUUAUUUGAAGCUAGUAUCUGUUAAAUUCACAUAAAAUAAUAAAUAGGCAUUAAAUUCACAAAAUGCUAGAGCAAAUUUUAAUGCAAAAGUUGUUUUGUUUGAUGAAACACAUUGUAAAAGCUAAUGGUGGUUGUAGUUACUAGCUAGCAGUGGUGAUUGUUGACAAUGAUGGUUAUGAGGUGUUUGCUGGUGGUUGGUGGAGGUGGCUGGCAGGGGUGAUUGUGCAGUGGUAGCUAGAAGUGAUGACUAUGCAAUGGUGGCUGCUGAUAAAGGUGGUUGGUGGUUGUAGUUGAGCGCAGGGGCGGAGCCAAGUGGUAGCCAGGGCGUUCACCUGAACCCCCUUCGUCAAAAAAUUACCAUGUAUACACAAGGUAGUCGUAUUGAGAUCAGAAUUGUCAUUGCCAAAUACCAAGAGAAAUAAUGGGGUUAUUCGCAGCAAGAUGCUUGAAACUAGUGUUAGUUCUGAAGCGACCCCCAAAACUCAAGUCCAAAAACUGGUCGAUCUACUCCAUGUAUGUGCUAAAGAAGAUUUAUUAAAUGAAACCAAAGCUAUUCAUGGUUAUAUUCUGAAGUCUAAUAUUUCAGAUAAUAACUUGUUGCUGUUGCUUAAUCAUGUAUCACACGCAUAUUCAAAAUGCUCAGAUUUUAGCUCUUGUCAGGUAUUGUUCGAUAAAAUGUCACAGAAGAAUGUCUUUUCUUGGACUGUCAUGAUUGUGGGGUCAAUAGAAAAUGGAUUUUUCUAUGAUGGGUUUAAAUACUUCCAUGAGAUGCUAAAUUAUGGAGUGCUGCCAGAUGGAUUUGCUUACUCAGCUGCACUUCGGUUGUGUAUUGCUUUGGGAAGCCUUGAAUUGGGUAAAAUGGUACAUGCUCAGAUUGUUAUAAGAGGCUUUACUUCUAAUGUUGUUAUUAAUACAUCACUACUUAACAUGUAUGCGAAGUUGGGGAAUGUUAAAGAUUCAUCUCUGGUUUUCAACAGUAUGAGUGAAAGGAACGCGGUUUCUUGGAAUGCAAUAAUAUCAGGACUUACUGCUAAUGGUCUUCAUUUGGAAGCGUUCAAUCAUUUUCUUGAAAUGAAAAAUAAAGGACUUUCCCCAGAUGUAUACACUUUAGUUGGUGUGAUGAAGGCAGUUGGGAGAUUAGGUGAUAUUGGGAAGGGUAAGGUAGUCCAUAGUUGUGUCUGUGAGUUGGGUUUGGAGUCUAAUGUUGUUGUAGGAACUGCACUGAUUGAUAUGUAUGCUGAAUGUGGAGCUUUAUGUGAGGCAAGGGCUGUUUUUAAUUCUAAUUUCACCAAUUGUGGAGCAAAUAUGCCAUGGAAUUCAAUGAUUUCUGGUUGUGUACAGUGUAAAUGUAGCCAAGAAGCUCUGGAGCUGCAUGUUAAUAUGUGUAAAAAGAAUGUUACGUCUGAUAUAUACACUUACUGUAGUCUGUUCGAUGCAAUUGCUGAAUUGAAGUGUUCCAAGUUUUUAAGGGAGGUUCAUGCAGCAGUUCUUAAAUCUGAAUAUGAUUGUAUAGCCCUAAGCGUGCAAAAUGCAGUUGCAGAUGCUUAUGCUAAAUGUGGGUCUAUUGAGGAUGUAAGGAAGAUCCUUGAUAGAAUGGAACAUAGAGAUGUAGUGUCAUGGACCACCCUUGUAACUGCAUAUUCUCAAGAUUCCCAAUGGCAGGCAGCUAUAGCCGUCUUUUCUCAGAUGAGGGAAGAAGGCUUUGUAGUCAAUCAGUAUACUUUGGCUAGCAUCCUUGCUGCAUGCGCUAGUCUAUGCUAUCUUGAGUAUGGUCGACAACUUCACGGGCUCCUGUACAAAACUGGCUUACAGAAUGAGAGUUGCACAGAAAGUGCACUGGUGGAUAUGUAUGCCAAAUGCGGGAGCAUAAUUGAGGCCGAAAAGGUAUUUGGUUGUAUUUCCAAUGCUGAUGCCGUUUCGUGGACGGCCAUGAUAUCCGGGUAUGCCCAACAUGGUUCUGUAUUUUGUGCACUUGAACUAUUCAAGAAGAUGGAGGAGUUGGGAAUUAAACCUACUGCAGUUACAUUAUUGUGCAUUUUGUUUGCUUGUAGUCAUGGUGGAUUGGUUAAAGAAGGUCUUCGCUUUUUUUGGUCAAUGGGUAAAAGGUAUAAUUUGGUACCAGAGAUGCAACACUAUGCUUGUGUGGUUGAUCUCCUUGGCCGCGUGGGCCUUCUAAGUGAAGCAUUUGAAUUUAUCAGGAAAAUGCCUGUUGAACCGGGUGAAAUGGUUUGGCAAUCACUGUUAAGUGCAUGUAGGCUUCAUGGUGAUUCUGAGCUAGGAGAAAUAGCUGCCAAGAAGAUCCUUUCUGUUCACCCUCAAUAUUCAGCUACAUAUGUUCUUUUAUCCAAUACAUAUAUGGAAACUGGGAAAUUUAGAGAGGGAAUUGACUUGAGAAAUGUGAUGAAAAAGCAAGGGGUUAGAAAGGAGCCAGGCUAUAGUUGGAUUACGAUUAAUGGUAAGGCCCAUAAAUUUUAUUCGGGAGAUCAGGAACACCAACAGAGAGAUGACAUUUAUCUUACGCUGGAAGAACUAAGGGUGAAAAUGAAGGCUCUAGGUUAUACACCAGAUUUUAGAUAUGUUUUGACAAGUGGAGAUUGAAAUAGAACCUUUUAGCAGCUACUUAAUCAAGUCAACAUAUGGAAGUACAAUGUUACAUAAUUUUGGGGAAUGACUUAUAGGAGAAAGUCUCUUUAUGAUGAGAGUUUUGAACUCGCGGAACAUAUCAUUAGAAAGCAAACUUUGGUGCUACUACUACUUGAAAUCCUAAAUUCUAAAAACUAAUAUUUUAUUGGCGACUUGUCUUUAGGUUUAAUCAUAGCACAGAGGUUAGAUAUUCUGUGCAAAAUGAACUAUUUACCACCUCCGCUACUACAAGACGGAGUAAAUGCAGAAACGUGGUAGACAAAUGAACUUUUCUUUAUGUUUUUCUCAUAGCACAGUUGUGGGCCUUCCUUUUUCUUUCUGUCUUGUUAGAAGUGUGCUCUCUCCAACAGCUUAAGCUUUUAGAUGAGAUGGUCACACACUUCGACAUGUCUGUUGUAUCCUAAACACUCGUUGCAAAUUCUGUCUCACAUCUUGAAAUUUUAAGCUGCAUGGCAUUAUGAAAGAUGCAACUUCAAGAGUCUCCCCAAAGGAAAAAGUGCCAAAAGCAGGGAAUCAGGGACCUUGUAUUCUUUUUGUCCCUUCUAAAUAUUGACUUCACUGGGACAUGCCCAGUGAGAAAAGGGUUCCUUUGGGAUGAAAUGGACUUGAACUGAGAUGAACAGAAUGGAUAAAGAGAACUCAUACAGCUCAUACAGCUGACACCUGAAUUAUUUGUUAUUAAGGCACAAUUGGUUGACUGAUUGAUGGCAGGACGUCUUAUAUUCAAAUCCAAAUUACCUGCAUUCUUUUAUAGACUGAAGUUCCAAGCUUGUGAAUUUUCGCUGAGUAGGAGUAUUUUCAUGGAUCAUAAACAUGCCAUUUCUUGCUACUAAUUGCUUAGACCAAGCCAGAAGUAGGAGGCUCUUCUCUAUGUUUCAGCAAGGAAGAAUUUAUCUUAAGAAGAGCUGGAGACAUUUAUAAAUUAAAGGGAUAGAAAGAGAGCCAGGUGAUGUUGCAAGAGGUAGUUUGGAGUAUCAUGGGAAAGAUUGGCAUUUUAAGAUAAUCCAAACCAGAUCACAACUUGACUGUUAAGUAUUCCAAUGUCACCUGAUAAAACCCCACAAGUCUAAGAUCAACGCCCACCAAGUUUUUAAUGAGAUGCAUGGACAGGUUGCAACAAGAGCUAUGUUUAUAGUAGUUGCAUUGGUUGUUCAUCCAUGCAAACUCAAUAUUUGUCUUAACGAUAUUUUGUUGUCCCAUAUGGCAUGAUAUUAUCUUAUGAACUGAUUCUUAGAGAAAGUAGGAAGCAUACAAAUUCUUAUUUGCUGCGAGAAAUGGACUAAUUCUCUUCAGGAUUAAGGUCUCUUAAUCCACGGAGGAAGAUAUCUUAUAUGAGAAUUCAGUUAAACAUUAA
Lycium barbarum (goji berry) is the source of this 4563-nucleotide RNA transcript. It is a transcript of the gene named putative pentatricopeptide repeat-containing protein At1g56570, with no coding region annotated. The transcript has 4 exons. NCBI's taxonomy places the organism in Eukaryota, Viridiplantae, Streptophyta, Magnoliopsida, Solanales, Solanaceae. The record is from RefSeq and is a predicted model, not a curated record.